GCGCUCCAAAUAGUCUUAACUGUGAGAGGUCCCUGGGGAAUUGGGGCGAUUCGUGAUUGGUCGAAGGGGUUUUCGGGACUGUGACGCGUUCGUGCUGCUCUGAUCGCGACGCGACUAAUCUUAUUCGAUGUAGAAUGACUUUUUACAUAGGUAAUGACUAAAUUUUUUAACUAUUAACGAAAAUAACGAGAGAUUGGGAGCAAAAAGGGGAAAAAAAGGGGAAACUUCUAAAAUAGAGGAAAAAAAUGUCUUCUAAAAUUAGAGGAUGCAACCACCGCUAAACAAAAGAAGAACUUUCCGUUUAACCGAAAAGACUAAAUUUGCAUUACGUUAUUUGUGGUUCGCGAGAUAUUUGACCAAGAAAAAGACACCCAGAUUGACUUUGAGUUGAUUGUUUGUUGACUAGCAGACGACGAUAACUUUUAUCGGUGUGGCGUGUGGGUACUGGCUACUGGGGCGACUGGGUAUUCAUUGGAAUUCAUCGAUCUAAUGAUUCUAAUAAGAAAAAAAAACCAUGCCUCCAGUGUCACAACUGAUUAUUCCUUUACCCAUCAAAUGCCAGAUUGGCACAUAGUUCAAAUGUGGGUGCUGAAUGAACUGGUAAACAUAAAAAAUGGAAUUGACAAUAGAUUACAUUUAUCAUCAGACAUCUCUCCCUUUCCUAUGUCUUGAAGAUGACGACAAGUUGCCAGUUGAUUUACAUGUCACCUUUACUGAUAUCCUAGCACACCAUACUUUAUUUGGCAUAAAAAAAAGGUUUCCCUUCUGGGUUUCCCUCAUUUAAAAGGCCUUGAUGAUGUAAUGGUGCUAUGCCAAAAUUUUAUCAACGUAGAGAAAUUAAAGCUGCAGCUGUGGGAAAUGGAAUUGACAAUUACAUUCAUCACAGACACAUUUCAGUUUCAGAAAGUGGAGUUUUGUCUUGAAGAUGACAAAAGUUGCCCGUUGAUUUACAUGUCACCUUAAGUGAUGUCAUAGCAGCUACUUGUCAUUUAAAUAGUUUGUUACCAUACUUUAUUUGACAUGAUUGUUUUAUAGAGUUAUUUCAUUUUGGUUUUUUUUCAGGCAUACUUCAAUUUCAGAAAAUUUUGUCUUGAAGAUGACAAGUUGCCAGUCAAUAUACAUAAAACCCUAAGUGAUAUCAUAACAGGAACUUGUCGCCCGGAAGUAUUUGAGACUUGACCAACAUGGACGACGUGCCCUGGGAGAACCUUCAACACGCACUCGCCCUCCUUGCGUUCCCUUCUGACACUCGGGUAUCACCACACAAGGAGUUGCUCGAUGCGUCGAGGUGGAAUGCCUCGAUUGAAAAAUUUCGUCAAGACUAUUUCCGCCUCUAUCAGUUGGCUCCAUUGUCUGUGUUGGCUGUUGCGUUGCAAGCUGGUCUCUCCACAAUGAAAACUCCGCAAUGUUAUCGCCCAAUGGAUCAGAGGAAUGUUGAAUGUCCCAUGUGCCAAGAACUAUUGAACAAGUUUGCUGAACGAUUACUCACGCUCAUUGCUCACAAUCAAGAUAGAUCUGUCGCUUUUCGGGCUUAUCUCUUAACGAACAUAACUUACCUAUGAUGCUACCCAACGGUCGUGUGUACGGAGAGCAGACAUUUAUCAGUUUUCGUGCACAAGUUCAACCAUAUUGUGUUUGUUUUUGAAUCAAUAGGCCUUGCGGACUAUACCUGUGCUCGCAGCAAAGAAGUCUUCGCUGUCAAAGAUGUAGAGAAAGUUUAUGUUAUGUAGUGUUUUUUAUGUACUUAGUAAUACAUUAUUUUCGUGAA
Molecule: long non-coding RNA, 1768 nt
Organism: Daphnia pulicaria
Lineage: Eukaryota; Metazoa; Arthropoda; Branchiopoda; Diplostraca; Daphniidae
Exons: 6
Source: RefSeq, a predicted model, not a curated record